This is a long non-coding RNA of Heterocephalus glaber (naked mole-rat), 726 nucleotides long. RefSeq lists it as uncharacterized. NCBI's taxonomy places the organism in Eukaryota, Metazoa, Chordata, Mammalia, Rodentia, Bathyergidae. The record is from RefSeq and is a predicted model, not a curated record.
CGGGAGCCAUUGGAGGAUGGUGGGCAAAGUGCCAUGCCUGACUCAUGAUUUAUCAAAAGCACUCUCGCUAUGUGUAGAGGAUCUCAUGAAGGGGAGAGAGUAGGAGUAUGGUUACCAUUGGACAAGCUAGUACAACAAUCCAGGUUGGAGACAGUCAUGAUUUGAACAGGGGACACGACACUAAAGGAGAACCCAAAACAUCCCUGAGAUUUGGUAUGGUUGGAUACGGCAACAAGAGCAAGAGGUAGAAUACCACUCAGAGUUUCAUGCAAGCAAGGAGCAACUGAGCCAUCAUCAUACAGAGGCACUGCACUGUGAUGAUAUACAGUAUAAAAAAAGACACUACACACUGGAGAAGAUUUCAUAUCCAUGUGCAUAGAGAGGACUCAAAACUGGAAACUAACAAGCAUUUCCAUCUAAGAUUACGAUUAAAUGGGAAAUGAUUAGUACUAUUGUUGCAAUGAAAAUGAGAGAGAAAUGCCUGGGAUGGAUGGCAUUUAAAGUAGGAUUUCUGAUCAAAAGAGUGAUUAACCCUUGCAGAACAAGUGAAAGAAAAAGAGAAUUUACCUCUUUGGAGUGGAGAUUUUCAUCCUCUUUAUUCAAGAUCAUCAGAGCCUAAAAGAGAACCCAGCAUGUUAUUGGCCACACUUGGAGACGAAGAAUGGGCUGGAACAUGUACCCUUUGGCAGAGAUCUUGCCUUCCAGGAAAGGACUACAAUAAGGAGU